CUCUCCCCGUGCGCAGCUCCCCCUCCCUUUGUUUUUUUUUUCAGAACAGCCGGUGGCUUUGCAAGCCACCACCGUCGCCACGCCGGACCACCGGCCACGAGACCGGACCCAUUCAAACCGCCACCUCCUCCUCUCCCUUCCCCGGCCAGCACAGCCAGGAGCCCAGCCACCAGCCACCGGAAAACGCAGAAAAUUGGCUGGUUUUUGACAGAUUUUCCAAGGCUUCGUUCUCCCUCAUUUCUUCACCAAAUCGGACGAAUGAGGACGUGUAUCCUAGACCUUGUGGAACCCAUAGGGACGUUUGGAUCAUAAAACGGUGGUCGUGGGCCCCGCGGGCCCGGUUGACCAAGUUUGGGCAGUUUGACCUUCGGUUGGCCGUGAGUCUCCCGAGGUAGUUCCACUCUUCGAGGAGUACUAGAACGACCCUUUUGGAUGAGUCUUGACUGUCAUUAGAUUUAUGUUGAUUUUGUGGAUUUAUGAGAUUGUUUUUAUGGUUUUGUGAUAUAAAUCUCAUGUUGUUGAAAUUAAUGAUUUAUUUAAAUUCUUUUUAUAUUUAAUAGUUGAAUGUUUAAUUUCUGUAAAGUAUUUGUGAUACAUUUGUGGAUUUGAUAUAUUCGAGUGUCUUGAGUUUAUAUAUAUAAUAUUUGAGAAAGCACUAUCUUAAGUACUUCCUCGGUUAUGGGUUCUAUGCUUGAGAGUUUAUUUGUCUACUUUGAAUAGUUAUUGUGGGAAAAAUUGAAUUAAGAAAUGGAAUAUUACUUUAUAAUAUUUUUAUAAGGAUUACGAACUCCACCAUCAUACGUACCUCCCCCCUUGGAUGAUGAUAUUUGGAAACAAUGGGUAUGGACACUGGGAUACAUGGAAAUGGAUAUAUGGAUAUGUUUUGGAUAUACUAUUCACACGUGCCGGGUUUCGGGCGUGUGGGCUUUCUUGGUCAUGGAUCCUGGAAUUGUGGGAUGCCGGAAAAAUUGUGGAUAUGGUCUAGAUAUGACGGAACCCGGGGCA
Molecule: non-coding RNA, 1005 nt
Organism: Prunus avium (sweet cherry)
Lineage: Eukaryota; Viridiplantae; Streptophyta; Magnoliopsida; Rosales; Rosaceae
Source: RefSeq, a predicted model, not a curated record